Meleagris gallopavo (turkey) is the source of this 946-nucleotide non-coding RNA. The record is from RefSeq and is a predicted model, not a curated record. Lineage: Eukaryota; Metazoa; Chordata; Aves; Galliformes; Phasianidae.
GACAGGUUAAGCAGAGGGACUGAAUAAAAAAGAUCAAAUAUAUUGAAGAUUGUAUGUGGCUUUAAGAAGAUAGAAAAUAGUACUGUCAUAUUACAACCUGAAUUAGGACUACGUGCAAGAGAAGGAGAAGAUUUGAACGCUGAAUCUUCGUGCUCUGAGAGGAAUUUUUAACAGGUUUAGCUGAAGAAAAUUUGCAUCUGUAUUUGUCUCCAAUAAAACUACAUGGGGUGGGAAAAGAAUAUAAUUUCUUCAACCAUGAGAAACACCCACAGGAGUUUGUAUCUUUUUAAACAUCUGCUUCAAAUAAUGACAAGGAAAAAAAUGCCAGAAACCAAGUUUAGUUUUGCUAUUUUAAUGUAACUUGUCUUAAUAUUUAUGUAGUGUCCAGGAAAAAUGACGAGAAGAAAACAAGAAAGGAAGAUUGGAGGAGAAAAGAGAAUUGGCUGUGAUUAAAGAGAAGUUUUAAACAGCGGGUAGAUAGAAGUGGAAACAGUGGAUAGAUAUAUGAAGUAGAUUUUCUUUUCCAGAUAAAAUUUUCAUCUGUGUAUCGAAACAUCUUUUCAUCUAAAUGUCAUUGUAAUGUUCAGUGAAACAAGGGAACAUUUGUACGUCAGCUCCAUACAAUAGUGCUGUAAAGCAUAACUUCCAGGCUAUUUGAAUGGCUACCAAGGCAAGUAAUACACAAGUCAUUUCUGAAGUAAUAUACAAACAAAAGUAGAUUGUUACAUCCCAUGGGUUGAUUAUCUAUUGCUUUCAUUUGUUUUUCUAUGUUAUUAAAGUCUCAAAAGGCCUUAUGUAGGAGAAAGAGAAAGGAAAAACAUUAAAAUACAAAAGGAACAGAAAAAAUCUGAAGUAGUAACAGGGGGGUGGGAGGAAAUGUUAAAUGAGUAUUAUAAUAAAAAUAACAGCUAUUUAUUGAGAGCAAAAAACUCUUGGUGGGGUAAAC